GAUAUUUUUAUUUACAAUUGUUGCAUGAUAAAUGCAACUGUUGUACUGUCGUUUAGUUUCAGAGAUAUAAUACUAAAAAGUGCAUUUGAAACCUAUGUUUAAUUUCAGCCAUGUGGGCAGGCAGGGUCAUCAUACACAGUGGUCCCUGGAUAUCCUAGUGGUGAUUUAAACCAAGUUUGUUUAAAUUCAACAGUUGUUUCAGGGGAGAAUUUUUGUAAAAUUUAUCUAACAAGAAAUGCAAAGUAAUGAGAAAGUUGUGAAGUAGUUUUGUUGUUGUGCAACCCCCCCCCCCACACUUUGCCAAAAAAAACAAAAAGGUAAUAAAAAAUUAUCAUAUAAGGGCAAUCUAUCCUAUUAAUGAUUUCUGCAAAAUUC
RNAcentral lists this long non-coding RNA (375 nucleotides) under Mytilus galloprovincialis (Mediterranean mussel). Lineage: Eukaryota; Metazoa; Mollusca; Bivalvia; Mytilida; Mytilidae. The record is from RNAcentral.